This is a long non-coding RNA of Drosophila sulfurigaster albostrigata, 581 nucleotides long. RefSeq lists it as uncharacterized. The record is from RefSeq and is a predicted model, not a curated record. NCBI's taxonomy places the organism in Eukaryota, Metazoa, Arthropoda, Insecta, Diptera, Drosophilidae. The transcript is spliced from 2 exons.
UUUCAGUCUAUUUAAACUUAUAGGGUAUAACACACAUGCAGACUAGCGCCAUAUGCAGUAUAGCCAUGCAGACAGAAUGCAGAAACCCAAAAGCAAAAAGAAGCGCCACAAAACUCGACUGCGGCAACAGCCAAGUUGCAAGGCAAGAGGAAGGGAGAGGAGAGGAGAGGAGAGUAGAGGAAAAUAGCAGUUGCUGCUGCUGCUGUCGUCUCACUGCAGUCGCAAUUUGCGAAUUGUUUUUGGGCUGUCGCUGCAGUCGCAGUGCAGUAUUUUUUGAAGCUGAACCACGCCCCAUUCGGGGAGGCAGAGGAAAUGAACUUUUAGGCGACAGUAAAAAAAAAGAAGAAAAAAACAGAAAGGAGAAAAAAGCCAAAUAUCGAAAUUAUAUUAGCCAACAGCAAAAGCGGAAAUGGACACAGAGGGAUUCAAGUGUGCAAUGGAAAUAGAUGGACAACAUAUGAAAGAGAGAGAGAGAAAGAGAGAGAAAGAGCGUUGUAAAAAGUGUGCAACGAUAAAUAUGCAUAGAGCACAAAAAAAAAGGUUUAGAGGAAAUGCUGCAAACGUUGUUUGGCCAAUUGCAA